RNAcentral lists this long non-coding RNA (610 nucleotides) under Numida meleagris (helmeted guineafowl). Its description in RNAcentral is "lncRNA (ENSNMEG00000021528.1)". Lineage: Eukaryota; Metazoa; Chordata; Aves; Galliformes; Numididae. The record is from RNAcentral.
AGGACACCCUAUUAAACGAGUAACUCCAGCUAUUAUUUGAAGAGAGCGUUUCGCUUUUCUUCUGUUAUAGAACACCACACUAAAAUUUAUACCAGGAAAACAAGCCAGCCAGAAAGUCCUUGAGGUUCUCUAGUGACUUUGCUGUCAAUCAAAUUAACAUGGAAGAUGCUCAAAUGCUGCUACUUUAAUGGGCAGAGGGACAAAUCUCCUGCCACACUGCAAAAAGGCUUUUCAAAAAAAAUUGCAACUAGAUGCCAUGUGAGCUGGAUGAGACUCACAGAAGCCUGAGCCUGGGACUACAAUGGGAUGUGAUGGAUUUGGAGUGCUAACUGCCAUUUCAGAUGGCCUAUGCCCCAGUCCACAAUUUCUCAGCCUGCUUUUCAGCUGCUGUUCCAGCCUGGCUGCCCAGAGACAACCCUUUUCCCUGUUUUACAGUGUUUCUUGCAACAGAUUCUUUGGUGCCAAACUCUCUGACUGUAGCAGAAAGAGCAGGGACUCCUCUGUUGGGAAUGGAUAUCGCCAGAGAGCACUGCGUAGAAGUCAUGUGCUGCAAUGUGCACACUCCAGAGUGAACUGGUCAGAGCCUUCCCUGUGGAUCUGCCCAGCAUGA